RNAcentral lists this ribosomal RNA (521 nucleotides) under Havaika cf. pubens MAA-2006. Its description in RNAcentral is "partial 16S ribosomal RNA". It matches the Rfam family "Bacterial large subunit ribosomal RNA", at positions 1826 to 2706 of the family's 2925-position model. The record is from RNAcentral. Lineage: Eukaryota; Metazoa; Arthropoda; Arachnida; Araneae; Salticidae.
UUCUAUUAGAAAAUACUUAAUAGUAAAAUCUGCUCAAUGAUUAAUUAAAUAGCCGCAAUUCGUGCUAAGGUAGCAUAAUCAUUUGUCUUUUAAAUGAAGACUAGAACAAAAGAUUUAACAUUUUAACUUAUUUACCCAAUUUAAAGAUUAAAUCUUUCUUAAAUGUAAAAAGACAUUUAUAUCCCAGAAAGACGAUAAGACCCUAUUGAACUUAACUGUAGUUAAACUGGGGCAGUAAGUUAAUUAUUAUUUUAAUAAAAAUAUAAAUAUUAUUAUCUAGUAUAAUUAAAUAAUUCAGUUACCAUAGGGAUAACAGCGUAAUAGAAUUUUAAAGAUCUUAUUCAAAAAUCAAAUUGCGACCUCGAUGUUGAAUUAAUAUGCUAAUUAAAGCAAAACUUAAAAAAGCAAGUCUGUUCGACUUUUAAAAAAUUACAUGAUUUGAGUUCAGACCGGCGUAAGCCAGGUCGGUUUCUAUCUUCUAAAUAGUUUUUUACAGUACGAAAGGACCUAAAAAUAUAAUU